Molecule: ribosomal RNA, 427 nt
Filed under: uncultured bacterium
Lineage: Bacteria
Description: bacterial SSU rRNA
Rfam family: Bacterial small subunit ribosomal RNA
Source: RNAcentral
UGGGGAAUUUUGGACAAUGGGCGAAAGCCUGAUCCAGCAAUGCCGCGUGUAGGAUGAAGGCCCUCGGGUUGUAAACUACUUUUGUACGGAACGAAAAGACUCUUUCUAAUAAAGAGGGUCCAUGACGGUACCGUAAGAAUAAGCACCGGCUAACUACGUGCCAGCAGCCGCGGUAACACGUAGGGUGCGCGCUUUAAUCGGAAUUACUGGGCGUAAAGCGUGCGCAGGCGGUUAUAUAAGACAGAUGUGAAAUCCCCGGGCUCAACCUGGGACCUGCAUUUGAGACUGUAUAGCUAGAGUACGGUAGAGGGGGAUGGAAUUCCGCGUGUAGCAGUGAAAUGCGUAGAUAUGCGGAGGAACACCGAUGGCGAAGGCAAUCCCCUGGACCUGUACUGACGCUCAUGCACGAAAGAGUGGGGAGCAAACA